This 290-nucleotide ribosomal RNA is filed under the name uncultured bacterium. Its description in RNAcentral is "partial 16S ribosomal RNA". It matches the Rfam family "Bacterial small subunit ribosomal RNA", at positions 335 to 621 of the family's 1533-position model. The record is from RNAcentral.
GGUCCUACGGGAGGCAGCAGUGAGGAAUAUUGGUCAAUGGGCGGAAGCCUGAACCAGCCAAGUCGCGUGAGGGAAUAAGGCCCUACGGGUCGUAAACCUCUUUUGCCGGGGAGCAAGGGCCGGGACGCGUCCCGGCCCGGAGAGUACCCGGAGAAAAAGCAUCGGCUAACUCCGUGCCAGCAGCCGCGGUAAUACGGAGGAUGCGGGCGUUAUCCGGAUUUAUUGGGUUUAAAGGGUGCGUAGGCGGGCUUUUAAGUCAGCGGUUAAAAUUCGGGGCUCAACCCCGGUCG